Molecule: ribosomal RNA, 369 nt
Filed under: uncultured Latescibacterota bacterium
Lineage: Bacteria; Pseudomonadati; Candidatus Latescibacterota
Description: bacterial SSU rRNA
Rfam family: Bacterial small subunit ribosomal RNA
Source: RNAcentral
CCUCUUCGGAGGCACCUGCACAGGUGCUGCAUGGCUGUCGUCAGCUCGUGUCGUGAGAUGUUGGGUUAAGUCCCGCAACGAGCGCAACCCUUAUCCCUAGUUGCCAUCAGGUAAAGCUGGGAACUCUGGGGAGACUGCCGGUGAUAAACCGGAGGAAGGCGGGGAUGACGUCAAGUCCUCAUCGGCCCUUACAUCCCGGGCUACACACGUGCUACAAUGGCAGGUACAGAGGGCUGCGAAGCCGCGAGGUGGAGCGAAUCCCAGAAAACCUGUCUCAGUCCGGAUUGAAGUCUGCAACUCGACUUCAUGAAGGCGGAAUCGCUAGUAACCGCGAAUCAGCAGGUCGCGGUGAAUACGUUCCCGGGCCUU